CGCAGUCGCGCGACGACCUUCGGGUUACGGAGCGGCGAACGGGUGAGUAACACGUGAAUAAUCUGUCCCUACAUUCCGGAUAAUUGGCCGAAAGGCCUUGUAAUACGGGCGAGGGUCACCGUGGGGCAUCUCAUGGUGAAGGAAGGUGCGACCGUAAGGUUGUGCCGUGCAGGGAGGUGUUCGCGGCCUAUCAGUUAGUUGGUGGGGUAACGGCCUACCAAGACGACGACGGGUAGCUGGUCUGAGAGGAUGGUCAGCCACAUUGGGACUGAGACACUGCCCAGACUCCUACGGGAGGCUGCAGUCGAGAAUCUUGGGCAAUGCACGAAAGUGUGACCCAGCGACGCCGCGUGGAGGAUGAAGGCCCUUGGGUUGUAAACUCCUUUUAGGGGAGAAGAACGCCGCUUCGGCGGCUUGACGGUAUCCCCUGAAUAAGCCACGGCUAACUACGUGCCAGCAGCCGCGGUAAUACGUAGGUGGCAAGCGUUGUCCGGAUUUACUGGGCGUAAAGCGUGUGUAGGCGGACGCUUAAGUAGAAAGUGAAAAGGUUGGUGCUCAACACCAACAUUGCUUUCUAUACUGGGUGUCUUGAGUGCCGGAGAGGAAGAUGGAACUGCACGUGUAGCGGUGAAAUGCGUUGAGAUGUGCAGAACACCAAUGGCGAAUGCAAUCUUCUAGACGGAAACUGACGCUGAGACACGAAAGCCAAGGAGCGAACAGGAUUAGAUACCCUGGUAGUCUUGGCCCUAAACUAUGUUCACUAGUGUUGGGGGUUUCCCUCAGUGCCGCAGCUACGC
Molecule: ribosomal RNA, 797 nt
Filed under: uncultured bacterium
Lineage: Bacteria
Description: bacterial SSU rRNA
Rfam family: Bacterial small subunit ribosomal RNA
Source: RNAcentral